UACGUAGGGCGCAAGCGUUAUCCGGAAUUAUUGGGCGUAAAGAGCUCGUAGGAGGUUUGUCGCGUCUGCCGUGAAAGUCCGGGGCUCAACUCCGGAUCUGCGGUGGGUACGGGCAGACUAGAGUGAUGUAGGGGAGACUGGAAUUCCUGGUGUAGCGGUGAAAUGCGCAGAUAUCAGGAGGAACACCGAUGGCGAAGGCAGGUCUCUGGGCCGAUACUGACGCUGAGGAGCGAAAGCGUGGGGAGCGAACAGG
RNAcentral lists this ribosomal RNA (253 nucleotides) under uncultured bacterium. RNAcentral describes it as "partial 16S ribosomal RNA". It matches the Rfam family "Bacterial small subunit ribosomal RNA", at positions 524 to 776 of the family's 1533-position model. The record is from RNAcentral.